AUUUAAAGAAAGCGUAAUAGCUCACUGGUCGAGUCGGCCUGCGCGGAAGAUGUAACGGGGCUAAACCAUGCACCGAAGCUGCGGCAGCGACACUAUGUGUUGUUGGGUAGGGGAGCGUUCUGUAAGCCUGCGAAGGUGUGCUGUGAGGCAUGCUGGAGGUAUCAGAAGUGCGAAUGCUGACAUAAGUAACGAUAAAGCGGGUGAAAAGCCCGCUCGCCGGAAGACCAAGGGUUCCUGUCCAACGUUAAUCGGGGCAGGGUGAGUCGACCCCUAAGGCGAGGCCGAAAG
This 288-nucleotide ribosomal RNA is filed under the name Klebsiella pneumoniae. RNAcentral's name for it is "partial 23S ribosomal RNA". It matches the Rfam family "Bacterial large subunit ribosomal RNA", at positions 1121 to 1408 of the family's 2925-position model. Lineage: Bacteria; Pseudomonadati; Pseudomonadota; Gammaproteobacteria; Enterobacterales; Enterobacteriaceae. The record is from RNAcentral.